UUGUGAACUCUAUAGCCAGGAUGCACUAGCUGCAACAAAGCAGAAUUGGGAAAACACGGACAGCAGCAUGACUAAGUGCAUGUAUGCCUUGCAGAAACUGUAUUGCUAUCACCGGAAGACCUGUCACGUGUUACUACUCCCCUCCCACCCCCCAGUAGUCAAAUUCACAGAGACUUACUCUGAUUUCAGGCAGUAGUAGUGUUGGAGGCAAGCCUGUAGGAACUCAGCUGCAUCACCACCACGGUCAGGCAGUGAUUGUGCCCAGGCUUCUCACAUUAGCAUUUGGAGAGACAGAGGAAACAAUAGGAAGCCUGCUGAGGAAAGGACUGGGGCUAUCACUGCACUACAGGGGCACAGCUACACCAGUGCAGUACCAUAGCAUAGAUACUUCCUCCCAGUCAUGGUCACUAGGUCAACAGAACCAUUCUUUUCUCAACCUAGCUGUGUCUGCAGUGGGAGUGAGUUUGGCAUAGCUACAGCACUAAGGGGUGUGAGAUUUGUACACCUCUGAGCCAUGUAACUAUGUCAAUCUAAAUGUCAAGUGUAGACCAGGCCUGAAACCAAAUGAGUGUGAGAAUAGGAGCAGCAGAGAGAGUGGAGGAGGAAAUGUUUGUACAGCAUGUAAUGUAUAAAGGUUAACUAAAUAUUAUAAGGGUGAGAAUUAGGGAUGGAAGAAGGGAGCAUGAGAGGAGAUUAGAGUAGAAAAUGAGCAAAAGACCAAUGCACAAUAUAGCACAAAACUCAGAAGGAACGAGGACAAUCAAUCUGCAUUGCUCCAGAAUCUUAAAAGCUGGGCCUCCAGCUACAGAGCUGAAAAUUCAAUGAUGUUGGGAUGGGACAAAAGAUUGAAGCAUAGAUACUGUUUCCUAUCAUUUUAACAUAUUCCUUUUCUGUAUAUCAUGGGUCCAGAUUUAUUUUGAAAUGGGAGAGGAUUUGUGGUGAAGGGAGGUCUGGGUGUUACAUGGCUACACAGGGACUCUUUACACUGCUUGUCCCACCAUUAUAAAUGCUCCUGUGCUAGCUUCCCUGACUGCACCAAAAUAGACUGUCCUAGCUGUCAGUUUUUCAGUUUGAAAAUUGAGUCUCUCACACUCACCAACAUGCUCCAUAAGCCCCAUAAGAACAGCUCUAGGGAGUAUUUAUUUUGGCUGAGGCACUGGUAAGCACGUUAAGAGAUUUAAUGAAGAUGACAGAAACAACAGACUGCAUCCACUGUGUACCAGUGCCCAGAGUGAGUGAGGAAUGACCCCAAAACAGGUGACAUGACAGUCUAAAUCCAAUCACUGUUUGGCUCAGACGGUCUUUGUAAAACUCAAAGGGCUUCCUCCAAUCCCCAUAUACCUUAGAGGUUAUAUGCUGGUGCUGCACAUCACCAUAGUAUCAACAUGCAUGUUGGCAGCAUGUGUGAUUUCAAGUGCUUGAUACAUAAAUUUGUCCCAUUCCCCAGAUUUCUGACAUUUGGAUCUCUCUCUCUCUCAUCUGGGUUGGAUCCCAAGCUGCCUGGGUUGUGAGAGCCGAUAAGGUCACAGCAUUAGAAGGUAUGGCAGAGACAGCAGGCCAAAUUAUAACUGCAUCACUUUAUUGGAGACUAAUAGGGUUGUGCAGGUGUCUGAGGGCAUAAUUGUCUGCAGCCUCUGUCACUGAUAAUUACCAGAAAUAGAGUUCAACAUUACUUUCACGAUACUGGCUGAAGGACAGUUCAGCAUAUGGAGUCUAUUCCGAGAAUUUAUACAGCAGACUUCUCUGGAGGGAAAGAAAUCAAAACACAUGUUUUUCAAAAGUGCUGGAAUGGCCUGAUUAGCAGAAAUUACAAAUGGUCUGGAAGAAUUAAAAAGCAGCACAGUAAUUUGAACAGCCAGACUUCAUCCAAAACCCUUCAGGAAUUGUUCUUUUCCCCACAGAUUUCAUGUUCCCAGCAAUCUCUGUACAAAGCUGUCAGCUCUAAGUGGGCUGGGAGACAAUAUUGGCAUUGGCAUGUACCCAGUACAAAAAUAAGUGGAGAAACUGACGUACAAGUGAAGUCCCAUUUAAAGCAUCAUAUGGAGCAUCGCCUUGCUCGAAGGCUGAAGCAGCCUGUUGGAUGUCAGGCAACACUUGAGGAUGAAAGUCGAGCUGCCUUGGGAAAUAUAGAGGCUUUUACUUGGAGGUCCAAAGAAAAAACUACAGAUCAGGCCAGAAGUCACCAUGCAAAUUCCAGUGCAUUUUCAGAUGGAUCUCAACAGAAGAAUAAAACCUGUUUAUCAGAAGAGGAGUUGUUCUUCAAAAGGCACACGAUAGCAAUGCAGAGAGGGGUAAAUUUAAAUAAUUGGGUCCUGCCAACACAGAGAACAGAUGAAAUACCUCACUUGAAGAGCCUGGAGAUUAGUGAUGACAAGGGAAACAACAGAGUGAUGACAGACUCAUUGAAAAGUGCUUUGUCAGAAACUGUUGCUUUAGCUGAAAAUGAGCAUUCCAGUCAGGAUAGUGGAGCAGACAGACCUCUCUACAGUGAAUCCUCAUCACAAAGUACAGCUCAGCUGGAGCCCCAGUCUGCAAGCAGGGCUGAAAAAACAAAGUCUUCUACUCCUUUGUUACUAGGGUGACCACGUGUUAAGGGGGGAAAUAUUGGGACCACCGCAGGGGGCGAGGGGCGUGGGUUUUUUGUUUUUUUGUUUUGUUUUUUUAAAAAACACUCACCCGUCCGGGAGUUCGGCGGCAAUUCGGCGGAGAGCCUUUCAGUCGGACGGUCUUAGGCUGUAUUUCGGCAGCGGGUAAUAAACCUUGCCGCCAAAGAAAGAAGCACCCACUGCCGAAAUACCACCAAAGACCGUCCGCGACUGAAGGACUCUCCGCCAAAUUGACGCCGAAGACCAGGAAACAAAAUAUCGGGACAAAUGGCGUUCUGGACGUACUGUGGUCGGGAUGCGGGACAAACUCCUUGAAAUCGGGACAGUCCCGAUUUAAUCGGGACGUCUGGUCACCCUAUUUGUUCCUGAGGAGCUGGGAGGGGCCUGCUAAUCUGGGAGAAGAUAAACAACGGGACCCUCCUGAUAGUGACAGAGACAGGACUAUAAUUAGGGGACACAUCAAUAUACCAUAUUCAGCCAGAAAGAAAGUCUUUAUGGUCUACAUUUGCGGAGGUUAUCAAGGUAUAGCAAUUGGAAACCAGCCCCGUUCCCGCCACGGAUACUCCCACACCCUGAGAUUCCUGGACUAUCAUGUAUCACAUCUGGGCUAAUUAUUAUUAUUCACUAUAUAGUGCCCAAAGCUUUGCUAGGAAGUCUAGUUUGGGGGAAAGAGGAUAAGACUGGGAGUCAGGAGGUUGUUGUUCUAAAUCUGACUGCCCUUGACUCACUGUUUGGCCUUCAUUUAUUGUCUCAGUUUCGCCAUCUGUAAAGUAAGAAUAAUAAUAAUAAUAAUAAUAAUUAAUAAUAUGUACCUACCUAUCUACCGCCUGGGGUUAAUGUGUUGUUGUUUGUACAGUGCUCUGAACAUAUGAAGUGCUAUGCACAUGUAAAAUGGGGUGGGGGUGGGGAGACAGGUACCUGCCCUGAAAAACUUGCCAUCUAAAUAGACAUCAUUUAGGCAAAAAAAGUGUGUGUUAGUGGAAAUGGCAGUCAUCACUAGAGUUUUUUUACAUUUAAAUACGAGUUCCAGGACCCUAGCGUGUGAAACGUCAAACGAGUAUGAACAAGUCAUUCUAUUAAAAAAAGAAACAAUAAAAUUUUCACGUGAUGUCAGCACUAAAAUACUCCCAAUCUGCCAUACCCAACCCUUCAGAAAAGUCUGGGUACAUUUCCUUUUUCCUAACAGUGGUGUGGAGGUUCCAGUAACUGUGCAUUUGGGCUGUCUAUAUAAAAGGUGGGAAUUCUCCCAUGUCCCUUUAAAAAUACAGCUGUCAAGCAUGCUGCAUUUCAGUAUUUAUACCUAAUACAUUUAAAAGACGACAAAUUAGUUUUAAAAGAUGCUAAUAAUAAAAUUGAUGUAAAGAUGGGAGGGGAAAACCACCCUACAAAGGUUGCACACAGGAACAAAUCUGCUGUGAGGUUUGUGUACCUCAGGCAAGUGCAGUUCCCAGCAUGUAAAGAGAUGGAGAUGGACUCCCAAAAUUUGCCUUCAGAUUUUCAUCCCAACAUUUAAGGGUGCUAUAGUCUUGGGGUUUGGCUGUCCUAUUUUUGAGAAAGGAGCCACUCACAACAUUUGCAUCUGGAUUGUGAACAUCCAAAGGGUUGUGAGUGUUUAAAUCUUUAGUUACAAUGUACACCCUAUGAGCAAAAUGGCUAGACUGUGAUUGGGAAGAUGUGUGCAUAUAGUGAUCAUAAACAGUGCACCUUAGGUGACUGUAUUAUAUGUAGUACCAUCUGGUCAUGAAUGAAAAAGCAUAUCAAACCAUGAAAUAAUCUCUAAACACCUCUUUUAUUUGGGAAAUAUUUAUCCCAUUGACUCAUUUAAAUCUUUGGGAUAGCAUGAAAUGCUGCAAAGCUGUAUUUUAUACCAAUAGAACCAUUUAGCCUCAGUAUGCUUGUUUUUUGAGCCAGAUGCAAAGGCAGAAAGAAAUGCAUUAAUGGAAAAGUCUCAUACCCUCGUCUGUACAAUUACUGUAAAGAAAGAGGUUACAACUUCCGGAUGCUGGACCUAAGAUAAGGGCUAAAAGAUGGUGUCAGCAAUGAUCACCGCAUGGUUUUACUUCAUUUGAAAAUGCUGAAGAAGUGCCAGGAGUUGGGACACCACAUGUUUUGUAAGCUUGGGGUUAAUUUUCUAUGAUUUCUAGUAUAUUUUCUAGGGAUUGUUUAUUUUAUUUUCUGUACAAUGCACAUCCUACAGAUCUAAUGUACUGAAGAGGAGGUAAUUGGUAAAUAUGCCACUAAGUUACACCCUGUGGAAACUUAAUUACUUGAUUUUUGCACAAAGUGUAUACCAGGGCUGUAUUGUGUCCCCUUUGUAUGGCUCUUUAUUUUCUCAUUGUUCUGUUUUCAGGUUUUCAUUGGGCAAAAGCAUGACAAUCCUGUCAUCCCAGAAAUCAUAUCAAAGGAAAACUUAGACGCAAUUAAAGACACAAUUGAAAGCAUAAAGCUGGUUGCAAUAAAGCUAAAGCAGAAUAUGCCAAGUAGCGUAUUACAUGGUGGAUCAAAAGAGGCAGUUCUGACUGAGAAAACAGAACAGGUAGAUGAUAAUCAGGCUGGUGUUACCCAAAAUAUUCUGGGAACUGACAAGUCAUCAAAAGAAAAGAUAGUUGAGACCCACCCCAAUAAAGAACCAGAAUCAAAUAUUUCAGAUGAGCAGGAUUCGCCUAAUGGGUCUCCACUCACACAACAUAAACCUGCCGUCGAAUAUGACAAAGAAAUGCAGCUUCUUAAUCAGUGGUACAAACUGGAUGAAAUUUUUGACCCAAGUGUUUACAGGCUUCUACCUAUCAGAAUGACCUGUUCAAAGAAUUUCCCUGAGGGGCUGGAUGCAAGGAAAAGAAAGCAAGUGUAUAGAGCUUAUAGUGAUGAAGAGAUUCUGGAGCACGUCCAGCGUUGCCAAGCACUGGUUACCUGUGUUGCAGGAAGAGAAACUUUUCUGUGUGACCCAAAGAAUCAGAUUCUGUCUUUCAACAGAAGACCACUUAUAGUACACGGUGAGGCUGGAUGUGGAAAAAGUGUUAUCAUGGCAAAGGCAGCAUCUUUAGCUUAUAACUGGAUACCAGGGUAAGGAACGCUCAGAUUCAUUGAGAGGGAAUUUA
RNA transcript from Mauremys mutica (yellowpond turtle), 5704 nucleotides. RefSeq lists it as uncharacterized. The record is from RefSeq and is a predicted model, not a curated record. The transcript has 8 exons. Lineage: Eukaryota; Metazoa; Chordata; Testudines; Geoemydidae.